GAUGAAGAACGCAGCGAAAUGCGAUACGUAAUGUGAAUUGCAAAUUCAGUGAAUCAUCGAGUCUUUGAACGCACAUUGCGCCCCCUGGUAUUCCGGGGGGCAUGCCUGUCCGAGCGUCAUUACAACCCUCAAGCUCAGCUUGGUGUUGGGCCCCGCCGCCCCGGCGGGCCCUAAAGUCAGUGGCGGUGCCGUCCGGCUCCGAGCGUAGUAAUUCUUCUCGCUCUGGAGGUCCGGUCGCGUGCUCGCCAGCAACCCCCAAUUUUUUUCAGGUUGACCUCGGAUCAGGUAGGGAUACCCGCUGAACUUAAGCAUAUCAAUAAGCGGAGGA
Molecule: unclassified non-coding RNA, 328 nt
Filed under: soil metagenome
Description: partial contains 5.8S ribosomal RNA, internal transcribed spacer 2, and large subunit ribosomal RNA
Rfam family: 5.8S ribosomal RNA (bases 1-119)
Source: RNAcentral